CGCCAGACUCCUACGGGAGGCAGCAGUGGGGAAUAUUGGGCAAUGGGCGCAAGCCUGACCCAGCAACGCCGCGUGAAGGAAGAAGGCCCUCGGGUUGUAAACUUCUUUUAUCAAGGACGAAACAAAUGACGGUACUUGAUGAAUAAGCCACGGCUAACUACGUGCCAGCAGCCGCGGUAAUACGUAGGUGGCAAGCGUUAUCCGGAUUUACUGGGUGUAAAGGGCGUGUAGGCGGGAUGGCAAGUCAGGCGUGAAAACUAUGGGCUCAACCCAUAGCCUGCGUUUGAAACUGUCGUUCUUGAGUGAUGGAGAGGCAAGCGGAAUUCCGUGUGUAGCGGUGAAAUGCGUAGAUAUACGGAGGAACACCAGUGGCGAAGGCGGCUUGCUGGACAUUAACUGACGCUGAGGCGCGAAAGCGUGGGGAGCAAACAGGAUUAGAUACCCGCGUAA
RNAcentral lists this ribosomal RNA (450 nucleotides) under uncultured bacterium. RNAcentral describes it as "bacterial SSU rRNA". It matches the Rfam family "Bacterial small subunit ribosomal RNA", at positions 329 to 793 of the family's 1533-position model. The record is from RNAcentral.